This 244-nucleotide ribosomal RNA is filed under the name uncultured Actinomycetales bacterium. Its description in RNAcentral is "partial 16S ribosomal RNA". It matches the Rfam family "Bacterial small subunit ribosomal RNA", at positions 89 to 334 of the family's 1533-position model. Lineage: Bacteria; Bacillati; Actinomycetota; Actinomycetes; Actinomycetales. The record is from RNAcentral.
GCUCGAGUGGCGAACGGGUGAGUAACACGUGAGUAACCUGCCCUUGACUUUGGGAUAACUUCAGGAAACUGGGGCUAAUACCGGAUAGGAGCUCCUGCUGCAUGGUGGGGGUUGGAAAGUUUCGGCGGUUGGGUAUGGACUCGCGGCUUAUCAGCUUGUUGGUGGGGUAGUGGCUUACCAAGGCCUUGACGGGUAGCCGGCCUGAGAGGGUGACCGGCCACAUUGGGACUGAGAUACGGCCCAG